GCACGCCAGACGAGCCAGAUGCGUGCGUCAUGCGCCAGACCAGGCAAUCCACCGAAUCGAGCAAGGCCAGCUGUGCUUGCGAAGUUCGCCUUUUCGGCAACCCGUCUCACUUUUUCUUUUUGAUUUAGUUUGGUUUGUCUGACUCCCAGCGUAUUCUUGCGUUCCUUCUGCACUUCGACAAGGCACCAUUGCACUACUGGACAACGGCAAGGCGUUUCCACCACAUCUUCUUGGGCGAGAUCUUUGGAACACUUCCGCCGGGCUAGUGCUUCAGCUGCUACGUCCGUCUUCUCGUGUGCCAUCGCACCAGUGUCUGCGAGAAAAGAGUUUUGGACGGUCACAAGCACAUUAAUAGAAAAAAAAAUGCCAUACAUCUCAGUAUGUCAACAUCAAAACAAAAAAAAUUCCGCGAACACAGUAUGGGAAAGGACAGAAAGAGCUUUCGAGGCGAUGGAAAACACUUUAAGCCUGCUUCGACGAGACCUGCCCAAGCAAAGAAGAACGCCGUGAGAUUGCUAGAGAAGUGCAACUAAGAAAUGUUGGCUAAGGCAGUGGGCAAGUGUAGUAAUGACUGGCAUCAAGUCUUCUUCACGGAGAAGUCCCAUAAGGUGGAAUGUCCACUCAGAGCUAUUGUGACAAAGUGGAUCAUCGCAAAAAACACUGAGCAGCUUCCUUCAGCAUCAUUUGAACACCUUGAAGCCAGCGGACCCAUUCGCUCUCCGAAGUUCAGCAAACUUGGUGGAAGUGUUAAAGGACGGUCUAUCGGUGUAACCACAGCCUUUUCGUUGAUGAAGAAAUCGUUGAUUAUCUUCAAUGGCUGCAAUAUCGGGAGGAAGGUGGUUCCAUUCGACAGAUGUCCGAGGAAGAGCGUCAUUCCGUAGGAAGAACGGACCACCGGGAUGUUUGAAGCGCACGCAGUAUUAAUGUGGCUACACACAUUAGCCGAUUCGUCAAGAGCGCUGUCCUUUGUGUGAGCUAUCCGGAAAGGCAACAGCAGCAGCCACCACGGUGAGAAGACUCUGGGACGGUUCGCCUAUAGACUAUAUACAUGCUACUUGUGGCCACCUUCGGUCUCACCGGACACUUCGCACCGUUCGGAUUGGCCUGUGACAAGUCCACCUUACAUAUUCACGACAACGUUGUGUGCACAUAUACAGGCUUUGUCGAAAGAGGCAAAACCGCUACGAGUAAAAGUUUUGCCCAGUC
Molecule: long non-coding RNA, 1206 nt
Organism: Dermacentor albipictus
Lineage: Eukaryota; Metazoa; Arthropoda; Arachnida; Ixodida; Ixodidae
Source: RefSeq, a predicted model, not a curated record